GAGACAGGUGGUGCAUGGUUGUCGUCAGCUCGUGUCGUGAGAUGUUGGGUUAAGUCCCGCAACGAGCGCAACCCUUAUGGUCAGUUACUACGCAAGAGGACUCUGGCCAGACUGCCGUUGACAAAACGGAGGAAGGUGGGGAUGACGUCAAAUCAUCAUGCCCUUUAUGACUUGGGCUACACACGUACUACAAUGGCGUUAAACAAAGAGAAGCAAGACCGCGAGGUGGAGCAAAACUCAGAAACAACGUCCCAGUUCGGACUGCAGGCUGCAACUCGCCUGCACGAAGUCGGAAUUGCUAGUAAUCGCAGAUCAGCAUGCUGCGGUGAAUACGUUCCCGGGCCUUGUACACACCGCCCGUCACACCAUGAGAGCCGGGGGGACCCGAAGUCGGUAGUCUAACCGCAAGGAGGACGCCGCCGAAGGUAAAACUGGUGAUUGGGGUGAAGUCGUAACAAGGUAGCCGUAGGAGAACCUGCGGCUGGAUCACCUCCUUU
RNAcentral lists this ribosomal RNA (497 nucleotides) under Faecalibacterium prausnitzii. RNAcentral's name for it is "bacterial SSU rRNA". It matches the Rfam family "Bacterial small subunit ribosomal RNA", at positions 1031 to 1533 of the family's 1533-position model. The record is from RNAcentral. Lineage: Bacteria; Bacillati; Bacillota; Clostridia; Eubacteriales; Oscillospiraceae.